CACUGGUCAAGUGAUUCCGCGCCGACAAUGUAGCGGGGCUCAAGUACACCGCCGAAGUCGUGGCAUUGAUGCAGAUUCGUCUGUGUUGAUGGGUAGGGGAGCGUCGUGCAGCCGGCGAAGCAGCAGAGUGAUCUAGUUGUGGAGGCUGUGCGAGUGAGAAUGCAGGCAUGAGUAGCGAAUCGAGGGUGAGAAACCCUCGCGCCGAAUGACCAAGGGUUCCUGGGGCAGGCUAAUCCGCCCAGGGUAAGUCGGGACCUAAGGCGAGGCCGACAGGCGUAGUCGAUGGACAACGGGUUGAUAUUCCCGUACCCGCUUCAAUGCGCCCAUAUCGAACCUCGUGAUGCUAAGAGUCCUUAAGUCCUCUGAUGUCCUUCGGGACUAGGGGUGAGGCUGAACGCUCGAUCCGAUCGGGUAGUAGGUAAGCGAUGGGGUGACGCAGGAAGGUAGUCCAGCCCAGGCGAUGGUUGUCCUGGGGUAAGCAUGUAGGGCGUGUCGUAGGUAAAUCCGCGGCAUUUAAGCCUGAGAUGUGAUGCCGAGCCGAUUGUGGUGAAGUGGAUGAUCCUAUGCUGCCGAGAAAAGCCUCUAGUGAGUGUUGUGGCGGCCCGUACCCUAAACCGACUCAGGUGGUCAGGUAGAGAAUACCAAGGCGAUCGGGUGAACUGUGGUUAAGGAACUCGGCAAAUUGCCCCCGUAACUUCGGGAGAAGGGGGACCUCUGUUGGUGAUGGGCUUUACGCCUGGAGCUGGUGGGGGUCGCAGUGGCCAGGGGGAAGCGACUGUUUACUAAAAACACAGGUCCGUGCUAAGUCGUAAGACGAUGUAUACGGACUGACGCCUGCCCGGUGCCGGAACGUUAAGGGGACCGCUUAGCCGACGUGAGUUGGCGAAGGUGAGAACUUAAGCGCCGGUAAACGGCGGUGGUAACUAUAACCAUCCUAAGGUAGCGAAAUUCCUUGUCGGGUAAGUUCCGACCUGCACGAAUGGCGUAACGACUUCCCCGCUGUCUCAACCGCAGACCCGGCGAAAUUGCACUACGAGUAAAGAUGCUCGUUUCGCGCAGCAGGACGGAAAGACCCCGGGACCUUCACUACAGCUUGACAUUGGCGUUUGGAACGUCUUGUGUAGGAUAGGUGGGAGACUGGGAAGCUGUCACGCUAGUGAUGGUGGAGUCAUUGGUGAAAUACCACUCUGGUCGUUUUGAACGUCUAACUCUGGUCCGUGAUCCGGAUCGGGGACAGUGUCUGGUGGGUAGUUUAACUGGGGCGGUUGCCUCCUAAAGAGUAACGGAGGCGCCCAAAGGUUCCCUCAGCCUGGUUGGCAAUCAGGUGUUGAGUGUAAGUGCACAAGGGAGCUUGACUGUGAGACUGACAGGUCGAGCAGGAGCGAAAGCUGGGACUAGUGAUCCGGCAUCGGCCAAAAAAG
This 1421-nucleotide ribosomal RNA is filed under the name metagenome. RNAcentral's name for it is "bacterial LSU rRNA". It matches the Rfam family "Bacterial large subunit ribosomal RNA", at positions 1143 to 2438 of the family's 2925-position model. The record is from RNAcentral.